UUUCGUGCGUGUUGCUCGGUGCCAGAAGGUCGAGAUUGGCGCAAUGCUGUCGUCCAUCCAGAUUGCACUAGUCCCGGCCUUCUGGCUCUGCUGCUCGUCUU
RNAcentral lists this microRNA precursor (101 nucleotides) under Capitella teleta. Its description in RNAcentral is "microRNA cte-mir-92a precursor". Its record names the gene cte-mir-92a. The record is from miRBase by way of RNAcentral. Lineage: Eukaryota; Metazoa; Annelida; Polychaeta; Capitellidae.